CCUCUGGCACCACGGUGGAUGGUGACCGCAGGGCCACCAAGAAGACUCGGCCGACCUGCCCAGGACAGAGCCCCACCUGCCGGGCCUUCUUCCAGGACCCCCGUUCCAGCUUGGGGAACUGCUUCUGGGUGUUUGAGAUUUUGUCUAAGCCAGCACUAGGCUGCCAAAGACUUCAAACUCCUUCACCUUCUACUCUAAUUCCAGCUCCUUGAUAAAGGCAAGAUUCUUGGCUGGGACAGAAUAACCAGCAUGGAAUGCCAGGAAACUCAGAACGGCACGUGCUUCAAAUGCAGGGAAGAAGAGCUAUUUGCCAUUGCACUCAAAAUACUUCUGAGGACGUGAAACUCUC
Long non-coding RNA from Cebus imitator (Panamanian white-faced capuchin), 349 nucleotides. RefSeq lists it as uncharacterized. The transcript is spliced from 3 exons. NCBI's taxonomy places the organism in Eukaryota, Metazoa, Chordata, Mammalia, Primates, Cebidae. The record is from RefSeq and is a predicted model, not a curated record.